Molecule: ribosomal RNA, 661 nt
Filed under: Pseudomonas aeruginosa
Lineage: Bacteria; Pseudomonadati; Pseudomonadota; Gammaproteobacteria; Pseudomonadales; Pseudomonadaceae
Description: bacterial SSU rRNA
Rfam family: Bacterial small subunit ribosomal RNA
Source: RNAcentral
GGGGAUGCGGCAGGCCUACCAUGCAAGUCGAGCGGAUGAAGGGAGCUCUGCGUCCUGUGUACUUCAGCGGCGGACGGGUGAGUAAUGCCUAGGAAUCUGCCUGGUAGUGGGGGAUAACGUCCGGAAACGGGCGCUAAUACCGCAUACGUCCUGAGGGAGAAAGUGGGGGAUCUUCGGACCUCACGCUAUCAGAUGAGCCUAGGUCGGAUUACCUAGUUGGUGGGGUAAAGGUCUACCAAGGCGACCAUCCGUAAGUGGUCAGACAGGAUGAUCAGUCACACUGGAUCUGACACACGGUCCAUACUCCUACGGGAGGCCUCAGUGGGGAAUAUUGGACAAUGGGCGAUAGCCUGAUCCAGCCAUGCCGCGUGUGUGAAGAAGGUCUUCUGAUUGUAGAGCACUUUAAGUUGGGAUGAAGGGCAGUAAGUUAAUACCUUGCUGUUUUGACGGUACCAACAGAAUAAGCACCGGUUAACUUCGCGCCAGCAACCGCGUGUAAUACAAACGGUGCAAGAGUUAAUCGGGAAUUACUGGUCGUAAAGCGCGGGUAGGUGGUUCAGCACGUGGGAUGUCAAAUCCCCGGGGCUCAACCUGGGAACUGCAUCCAAAACUACUGAUUCUAGAGUACGGUAACGGGUGUUGGAAUUUCGUGUGUAGCGGU